UACGAAGGGAGCUAGCGUUGUUCGGAAUCACUGGGCGUAAAGCGCACGUAGGCGGAUGUGUCAGUCAGGGGUGGAAUCCCGGGGCUCAACCUCGGAACUGCCUUUGAUACAGCACGUCUUGAGUCCGAUAGAGGUGGGUGGAAUUCCUAGUGUAGAGGUGAAAUUCGUAGAUAUUAGGAAGAACACCGGUGGCGAAGGCGGCCCACUGGAUCGGUACUGACGCUGAGGUGCGAAAGCGUGGGGAGCAAACAGG
RNAcentral lists this ribosomal RNA (253 nucleotides) under uncultured bacterium. Its description in RNAcentral is "partial 16S ribosomal RNA". It matches the Rfam family "Bacterial small subunit ribosomal RNA", at positions 524 to 776 of the family's 1533-position model. The record is from RNAcentral.